UUCCCGUAGGGGGACCUGCGGAUGGAUCAUUAACGUUUAAUGAACUAAUUAAAGAUGUAGACGCUUAUGGUGUCUACUAUCUUUUACCCUUGUGGUCUAAUAGGAUUAGUUAAUUAUGAUUAUUAUUAGUAGUGUUUGACUAGGACACAUUGAUGUGUGUAGUAGAUGGACGCGCUAAUAAUAGGAUUAAUAGACAAAGACAUUUAUUUAUUAUACAUUUCAAAUGACUAAAGUAACCUUGUGAAUCACAAAGCAAUGCGUAUAUUUAUAUAUGUUUGUUUAUUUGUUUACCAAGUAAAACAACUAAUAAUUUUAUACAACUGCUAGCAACGGAUCACUCGGCUCUCGCGUCGAUGAAGAACGUAGCGAAGUGCGAAAAUUAAUGCGACACGCAACACGUGGUUCAAUCGAGAUUUUUGAACGCAUAUUGCACCCGACGGGUUUACUUGUCGGGUCUGCCUGUCUGAGUAUUAAUACGGACCCAAUUUAAUUAAUAAUUUUGUUAUUAUUACAUUAAGUUGGAGCUCAUUAAUGGUACAUUUGUAUUAUUGAUGGAUUUGAAUGUUCAACUGAUGUGUUAAUUUAUUAAUAUAUAUAUAGUUGAUCGUUUGAAAUGUAUUGGUUAAUUAAUCGAUUGUUAAUGAUUGCCAAACGCUAUUAAAGCAUUGUUAAUCAUCUUUUACUAGAUGUUCAUUGCUUGUAUUAAGUGAAUGGGACCACAACAUUAGCCAUUUAAUUUAUUAAAUGAUGAUUAAACCACUUGCAUAGCUGUUUAUUAUUAUUAAUAGUAGUGAAUAGUUAUACACCUUACUCAAACCAUCUUAAUCUCAGAUCAGGCAGGAUGACCCGCUGAACUUAAGCAU
Molecule: ribosomal RNA, 863 nt
Filed under: Syncephalis sphaerica
Lineage: Eukaryota; Fungi; Zoopagomycota; Zoopagomycetes; Zoopagales; Piptocephalidaceae
Description: eukaryotic LSU rRNA
Rfam family: 5.8S ribosomal RNA (bases 319-473)
Source: RNAcentral